Pan paniscus (pygmy chimpanzee) is the source of this 340-nucleotide long non-coding RNA. Lineage: Eukaryota; Metazoa; Chordata; Mammalia; Primates; Hominidae. The record is from Ensembl.
CACAAAUUCAACCACCUAAGGAACUGCUUUUUCAAGGUGUUUUACUUUGUUGUUUUCUUUGCUGUUGUUGUUACUUACGUCUCAUAGCUUCUUUCAGUUAAGGUAUUGAUGAUGAAGAGGCACUGAUGCUGUACAGGGUCCCAGCAGAAGAAAAAAGCAUCCCUCCUACCUCAUUUCUCCUUUCGGAGGCUAGCAGGAAAUUAAAAAAGGAAAGGAGUUUCAUGCAGUAUUUCUGACAGCAAAUUUCUCAGAAUCCAGAGAUACUUCUUUUCUCUGUAAUAAAUUGCUGCAGAUACAAAGGAACACUUAUGAUUGAUGACUAUCUCUGUUUGCAUGAGCA